This is a long non-coding RNA of Olea europaea var. sylvestris, 1376 nucleotides long. RefSeq lists it as uncharacterized. The record is from RefSeq and is a predicted model, not a curated record. The transcript has 3 exons. Lineage: Eukaryota; Viridiplantae; Streptophyta; Magnoliopsida; Lamiales; Oleaceae.
AUAAUUUUUUAUUUCCAACACACUCAACCAACUGACAUUGAUUUAGAAUACUCAAAUGACCAAAGCCUCCAACUCAAGAUUCGAAUUGCAGAAGAAAUAAAUCACUCACCGGAAAUAUUGUUUAUGAAGAAGAGAUGAAACCAAUUCCAGGGCCUUCCCAAGAUACCACCAUUAUCCAUCAUUUUCCUUGACGAUCCACCAGAAAUAGAAAAGCACCCUCACAUCCACAAGACUUCAUUUGUCAGCGGGCAUCACUUCCUCAUUUGCAGGAGUCGAACAAGGAUAAGGUCCAUACAAAGUCAGCAUCUAAAGGCAGGUAUUUGUACCAGUUUGACGUAAAUAAUGUAUUCUUCCAUGGAGAUCUGGAGGAGAAAGUAUAUAUGGAAAUGCCACAAGGGUAUUCGAAGGAGGGCCAGGCAAAGUUUUGUUAGCUUAAUAAAAGUUUGUAUGGUUCAAAGCAAGCUUCACAAUAAUGGAAUUCUAAGUCAUCUGAUUUUAUUGUUCAACAAGGCUUUCAACAAUCAAAGAUUCAAAAUCAAAGAUCUGGGGUAAUUGAAGAAUUUUCUCGGUGUAGAGACAGCAAGAUCAUAAAAGGGGAUUUAUAUUUGCCAAAGAAAAUAUGAGCUAGACAUAUUGGCAAAUUCUGGAACAAUUUGAUCAAAACCAACCAAAAUACCACUUGAUCAAAACCUCAAGCUUUUGAAGGAUGAAGAAGAAGAACUUAUCCCAAGUACUUCUAUUUACAGAAGACUCAUUGGAAGGUUGCUCUAUUUGACCAUAACCAUAACCAUACCUGACAUAUCAUAUGUAGUCUAAUUAUUGAGCCAAUUUAUGCAGAAUCCCAUGCUUCCUUAUUUGAAUGCAGCUCACAAAGCAUUGAGAUACAUUAAACAAGCACCAGGACCAUGAUUAUUUUAUUCUUCGACAUCUACCCUAAAGCUUAGAGCUUAUAGUAAUUCGGACUGGGGGCAUGCUUAGAUACAAGAAGAUCAGUAACAAGGUAUUGUGCGUUCAUUGGCUCUUCUUUGGCAUCUUGGAAAUCUAAGAAACAGAACACAAUUUCAAGGUCCUCGACUGAGGCCGUGAAUAGGUCCAUGGCCAAUGUAUUCUUUGAAUUAAGCUGGCUUAGAUACUUCAUGAUUUGCAAAUACAAUAUCCUCAAGCAGCUAUGCUAUUUUGUUAUAAUAAAGCUACUUUACACAUUGCAGCAAACCCGAUUUUCCAUGGACAGACAAAGCAUACAGAGCUUGACUGCCAUUUAGUCCAUGAUAAAGUUCAAGAUGUGAGUGUUGUGACAGAGUAUGUAAACAGUGCCUAUAAUGUUGCCAAUAUGUUAACUAAGCGACAAGCUUUUCUUUUAACUAGUAAGAAUUCCA